RNAcentral lists this long non-coding RNA (6350 nucleotides) under Sus scrofa (pig). Its description in RNAcentral is "lncRNA (ENSSSCG00065047274.1)". Lineage: Eukaryota; Metazoa; Chordata; Mammalia; Artiodactyla; Suidae. The record is from RNAcentral.
AGGGACUCUUGCUCUGGGCCACAUCAAUGGUGGAGGCAGGCCUGUUUUAAGCAGCAUCCCAUUUAGUUUUGUAGCCACAGCCACUCACGUGGCACCAGUACAUGGACAGGCUGUGGACACUUCUGUAGGGAUUCAUGUCCCUCACCUUGAAUGGAGAUGAGGUGGAUGAAAGGCAGGUCAGGGAGAAGGCGAUCCAUAUGGCAGCUGCCCCUCCAUAAAGUGGAGCAGAGAGCACGACCACUGAUAGUGCAUUUGGUUAUUGGAUAUGUAUAUUGGGCACUGACUUGGUGCUGGGUCUCGGGGGAUGUAGAGGUGCAGAGAUAAAGUCCUGUCUCUGCACAGAGGCAGAAAGGGACACAGUGGCCGUAGUUACGGUGGGCUCAUGAGAACGGCAGUCUAGCAAAGGUGGAGCAAAGCAGUGUAGGGGAGCCCAAAGGAAGAGCAGUUCUCUUUCUGAGGGAGUCAGAAGGCUUCACAGAAAAGGGGAUGCCCCAGUGGGGCUUUGAAGGGUGGAUAGGAGUGCAGGAGUGAGGGGAAGGCUGCCUGGAGCACUAGCUAGACAGAGUGUGGAAGGGCCUGGUGUCUGGGGCCCAGGCAGGACAGUUCAGGGUGGCCAGGACAUGGAAGAAGGAGAGGCCUGAGACGAGCCGGAGAAGGAUGUUGCCAAGGGCUUCAGUCGGCCAGGCUUGGCGCUUGGACCUUGCUCCGUAAGCACCCCGGAGGUUUUCAAGGAGGGGAGGGGCAUGGCUGAAGCCACCGUCCCGUUCGCGUUUCAUUCCUCCCCCACCCCAUGGCUGGUAACAGCAGGUUUUCUGCCCGAGUUAUCCAGGUCAGAGUCAUAAUCCCUUACACCACCAUGUGGACAGCUUUAGGCUAUGUCUGGACUAGGGUGAAAAUAGUGUUUUGUUCACUGUCAGGAGAGAAGACGAGUUGUACAGCCAGGAGGGCUCUGGGAGCCCAAGUGUUCAGGUAAUUAGCCAAUGAGUCAUGCCAGCCUCUUGACAUGGAUUCCUUGGGAAAGUAAGCAGAGUGUCGCUGGGCUCCAUGCAGAUGCUUGUUCUCCCCAUGCAGAGGCUUCGCCGUCAGAUCCCUGGGUCUUCCCUGUGCCUGGCACGGUGUCUGUCUGGAAUGUCUCUGGUCAGUGUUUUAAAUUUCUUCAUUGAUGACCGUCUAGGCCGGGCUUUCCAAUUCCAGACCAGACUGUAAUCAGCAAAAAUACCUAGACUCUCUCCUGCAGACUCAGAGAACGCUGUCAUGUAUUACAAACAGAUUAUAUUCCUUCUUAAGAGAGUGAAAUAGUUUAGGUCAUUUAGUAUAUCACUGAGAGCAAAAAGAAAGCAGGUUGACCGUUGAGAGACUGUGGACGAUUUACCUCAUCUGUUUAGAGUCAGCUUUUGUUGCUGUUGUUAAUUUCAGUUUAUAGGUUUUUGGAAGAUGAAAGUUUUGUGUCCAUGGACUGACUCUAGUUCCUGGAGUCUUUUUUUUUUUNGUUCCUGGGAUGAGGAGAAUGGGUUAGGAAAAUAAUAUGAUACUGGAGCAUUUGGGAGAGCACUGAUAGAGGCCUCCUGCUGAAGGGGCAUGCGGUGGAGAGCUCUGGGCUGACGUUCAGGAGACCCAAGUUCCUCCCCACUGCCCUCCCAGUUCCUGCUUUGGUGACUGUGGACCAGUCACCUGAUUUCUUGGAGCCUCCCUUUCCUCAUCAGAAAAUGGGAAAAACGAUGCCUCCCUUGGUAGGAUUAUUGGCAUUGUUUAUUUAGAUGAGCUGUGCAUCACAAGCGCCUUGCAAACUGUAAAAUAUUACGGGAUGUUACUCAUUAUUUCUUUAUGAAACACACUUCUAUAGUAUUGCUAAAAACCCUUUCUGACAGAGCUGGAGUUAAGACUUCCAAGUUCACAUACACAUUUUCACAGAGACCUUAGAGCAAAUCCUGUGGCUCGGACUCGAUCCCUGGCCCGGGAACUUUCAUAUGCCAUGGGUGCACCUGAAAAAGAAAAAAAAAAUUAUUAAGCAAACCAGGACACUUCUAAAGGUGAACAGGGGCAGUGCUGUUAUCCGUUGUGGCCAGAAAAUGGGCAUAAACCUGGAGUGCCCAGGCACUUAGAUCGAGUCACUCUAAGUCACCCUGCCUCUGUGCCUGUGAUCAUGAUGCCUGACCAAGGCAAUUGGGAAGAUUGGAUCAGCAGGUUUUCCUGCCACUGCUAAAGUGUCAGGGACUGUCUGCAUUACUUACUGCUAUUCUGAGUGAGGUGACUUGCCUAAGAUCAUUCAGCAAGUUGGCAGCAUAACAUUUUUAAACUGGUUGAGACCUUAGAGAGAAUCUGAAAUGGUCAAGUUGGCCCUAGAGCUUUCACUGCCAUGGGAGUUGGGGAACGUUCGGCUCUGCUGACUGCCAAUCUGAAGGGAAGGGGAACAGAAAUGUGGCUUGGGGGUGUGAAGGUGGCAGUGAGGGACUGGGAGGUCUUUCCCUGGCUCUGGAAUGUCUGCAUCCUCAUCAGGCUGUGUCCCUUUGGCACGCAGGAGAUGCCACUAGGUCCAUUGCAGCUUAGAUGAGAUUUAAUGGCCAGAAGCAGUCUUCUGAACUGACUGCCCCUGCUCCCCUGGGGCCUCAAAGAUACGACUGGCUGGGAGCUAGUGGGGGUUCAGAGUUUUGGAAGGCAUUGAGGAAGGAAUUAAAAAUAACAGCAAGUGUGCCUUUUCUUUCUCUUUGAUUGUGGUAAACGCAUGGAAUGUGCCAGGGUACUUGGCCCCAAAUAACCCCUCCUGCCAAUGGAAUUCGGCAGAAAACACAGAAAGACUUUGCACUGUUUCACUGCUGCCUCCUGUUUGUGGGAUUCAUUUCUUCGAUCAUCCGAGCCUCAUCUGUUCUCACUGGCCCCAGAUAAUUUGUUGGAAGCCCAGAGAGGGCCUUGAAUUCUCUCUGUUCUCCAACCAAACUGUUUGCUGUGGGCGAGGCCCCGUCUCAUGAGCUCCAAGGAGAGCAGCUGGAGUGACAAAGAGGACCAGUUACAGGCUGAGAAAAGCGAAGCGUAAAUUCAAACCAAACUUGGCACUUGGUUGGAGAACUUCAGCUGAUACCGUAGUGCUUUGGUCGUCACUCUUUGUGGCUGGGCCAUGUCUUAUAAAUAGAACAAGAUGCAUUCCCUCCCGCCCCCCUUUUUAACCCUACAGACGCAAGGAGGCAUGUGUGUGGGUGAGCAUGGGAUGGGCAGGGAGUAUUAAUUAUUUAUGUUUCAGUUCAUCGGAGAGUCAGCAUGGGAACUGGGCCCUGGGCUUCAUGGAGAUGACUGGGCCAUCUUGUGGGUAAGGAUGGAAUAUGCUUUUGUCCAGCUCUCUUCCCCACUGCUCCCAUCCCCUCCUUAGCCACAAAGCCCCUGGUUUCUCAUGCUUGGCCACUGCAGUCAGCCAGUUGUCUCCCUCCAUUUCUGAUCCAUCCUAUAUUCUGGAUCAGGGGCCAGACUCACUGUAUUAGGACACUUUGGGCUGCAAGUAACCUGAAUUCAACUACCAGCUUCCCCAGUGGGGGCUUGUCAUCUCCCAUAAGAAGUCUGGAGGCAAGGAGGUUUCAGGCACCAGCACGGACUUGGGAACCUUCCAUCUUUCUGCUUUGCCAUCUUUAGCCUGAUGGCUUCAGGCUGCAUGAUCCUCUGAUAGCUUCAGACAUUGCUUCCAGGGCCCGAAAGACUGCUGCUCCUUGGGGGUCUCUUUAUCCAGAAAGGAAAUCUUUCCCAGAUGCCUCCAGUGUUGUGUCACGUGCAGUCACUGAUGAAAAUGGUAGAUUGUAAGAAGCAUCUUAAAAUCAAAAGACCCAGGCUAUUUCUUUUCUUCUCUCUCUCUCUUUUUUUUCUUUUUUUUUUUUUUGCUUUUUAGGGCCCCACCCACGGCAUAUGGAGGUUCUCCGGUUACUGGUUGAAUUGGAGCUACAGCUGCUGGCCUUUGCCACAACCACAGCAGCACAGGAUCCGAGCUGUGUCUGGGACCUACACCACAGCCCACGGCAACGUCAGAUCCUUAACCCACUGAGCAAGGCCAGGGAUGGAACUUGCGUCCUCAUGGAUGCUGGUCAGAUUCAUUAACCGCUGAACCAUGACAGGAACUCUGUCUUUCUUUGGCUCGUUAUGGUACUUAGGACUGUGCUACGCACUCAGUAAAUGUGGGUGAAUACUUGUUCACUGCUGUUUUCCUUCUCUCCCAGUAGACCCCUGAACAGUUAUGUCUUGCUAAUUUCAGAGGUUAAGGUGGAAAACCAAUCAGAGGCCAGAUGUUGCCUUCGUGGAGCUUAUAGUGGAGAUGGAAAGGCGGUUGGGUUACUGUGUUUGGAGUAUCUAACCAGGUGGACCUUAGCGGUCUGCUGUGGGGCAGCCUAGGAGCAGUUCUGAAGUUGUGGCUCAGGGGGGACAAAGGGAAGUGAGUCUCACAGAAGGAGACCAUCAGGGUCUCUGAACACUGGGUUUGAGGACAACGUAUUUUCUGACCCAAGCUAGGUCCUUUCAAGCAGCUUUCUGUCCCACCCCUCUACCAGUCUUGUUUUCCUGUUGACAAAAUGAAGAUUAAAAACUUGCCCUUGAGAAUGGAGUGGGGGCAGGGGGCAGGGCUAAGAGCCUCCCGGCCCUGGGGGAAAUUUUCUAAAGGUUCUUGCGGUAUUCUAGCUUCAGAACCCUGUGAAAUUUAAUUGCAUGUUUAGCGUCUUUGUGCGUCUCACUGGCUUUGAAGUGCUGGAAACUUUCUCUGAAAGCAUAUAGAUGAAGAAAUGAGAAUUCUAUAAAUGGUUCGUGGUUAAAAACAAAGUGCUGGCCAAUUUAUAGAAAUUUGAGGUUGUUUUCUGAUGGAACAUUCUGCAGACAUGGAAUACCCUGGAGUCUUCCUGUCACAGUCACCUAAUAACGGACUUCAGGUCUGCAAAUGCUUUUUCAUUCCAGUUCAGAGAAAACAAACCCUGUCCCAGGGCCUUACGGUUUAUUUUCCUAUUGAUCUAGGAGCUGGGUUGACUCGGGACCCCCUGGGGAACAGCUCAAAGCUAAUUAAAGAUGUUUGUUUGAGGUUUGCCUGUUUUUCUUGCUUGAUUGAGAAAGUUGCAGUUUGGGUUUUUAUUGUUAAAGAAGGAGAAUCUGUCACCAGGGCUGAUCCAAGAGGUGGGGGGUAGGAGGGAAUUGUACACUUCAGCACACACGUGACAAGUCCAUUCCCCCUCCCCUUAGCGAGGCCCCCCACAGAGAGGCAUCUUUGAGCUCUGGGUGGGAACCAGAGCUGCCACUUGCCUUGCAAAUGCCCGAGUCUCUAGGAGUCGGGGCAGGGGAGCCUGGGCGUGAAACCCAAUGAAGCUGUUCCAGUGUGAGGCCGGUUCUGUUUGCCCAGCUUGAGUUCUGAAGUUAAUGGUCCAAGGCCCCCACUCAGGGAGAGUCAGCAUGUGGGGAGGUGGAGGGCCUGACAGCCAUUCCAGGGGGCCCCCUGACCCUUUGUUUAACCGCGGCUGUGGACCAGUGGUCUCAGAUGUUUACCCGCGCCUGUUUAUAAGAGGGAAGUGUGGUCAUAUUUCUAUCUCUUUUGUGGGCUGCACGGUUGCCUUAUUGGGGCUCAUGUGGGAAGUGGUUACCAUUCAGAGGAGGGUGAAAUAACAGUACUCACAAAGGGACUUUGAUCCAGGAAUCUUUUUGAAUGUUACCUUUUGGCCACUGUGUUUUUUAUUUUUAUUUUUUUGCCUGUCGGCCUUAACUUGACUGAUGAGAAAAUCGAACCACAUGCUGAACCUCAUUCUACCCAGCUGGGCUGAAAUCAAAACGGCAAGUCAGAGUGCUCCUCGUUUCCCUGGGUUUCAUUGUGGGGUCCACCCCCAGACCCAUAGUUCUGCACAGCUGGAGACCUUCUGCUUCAGCUCUUCUCUGGGCGUCUGUAUCUGAGCAUCCCAGUGAUGCUUGGAAUUGGGCUUUGGCCACGCCAUCCCAUCCACCUUCCACAACCUACACAGGUCUUCAUUGUCAUCAUUACCGGAGCUCCCAGGGGCAAUGAACUGUUGAAUCAGCCAGUGAACAGACUCAUGAAGGAAGUGUCCUGAUCCUCCAGUGAGGCUGGGGAACCUCAGCUACUCUCUGGUGGAGCUUGGCUUUCUGACUUCAAAGAAGGUAGCUUGACAUCUCUGGUCUUUACAUCUAUAAAAUGACAAGCUCCGAGCGAGACUCUCAGAAGUCUGUAUCAGCUCUAAUAUUUCCUGAGACCUUUUCCCUCUCUUCCUUAACUUCUUGCUUUUUUGCUCUUGAUGCACCUAUUUUCCUGGGGGACAAAAUCUAAUUUUUCAUCUGAUGCUCCUCAUUCAGAGGUGGCCCAUUCCUUAUUGUUAUUAUUAUGCCUUUUUAGG